GUUUAGAACGCUCGUAGUCGGAUUUCGGGGCGGUCCGACCGGUCUGCCGAUGGGUACGCACUGGUCGGAGCGUCCUUUUUGCCGGAGACCGUGCCUACUCUUAACUGAGCGGGGGCGGGAGACGGCACUUUUACUUUGAAAAAAUCAGAGUGUUUCAAGCAGGCAGCUCGCUCUUGCAUGGAUUAGCAUGGGAUAAUGAAAUAGGACUUUGGUGCUAUUUUGUUGGUUUCGAACACCGAAGUAAUGAUGAGAAGGGACAGUCAGGGGCACUCGUAUUCCGCCGAGAGAGGUGAAAUUCUCAGACCAGCGGAAGACGAACCACUGCGAAAGCAUUUGCCAGGGAUGUUUUCACUGAUCAAGAACGAAAGUUAGGGGAUCGAAGACGAUCAGAUACCGUCGUAGUCUUAACCAUAAACCAUGCCGACUAGGGAUUGGAGGAUGUUCACUGAUUGACUCCUUCAGCACCUUACGGGAAACUAAAGUCUUUGGGUUCCGGGGGGAGUAUGGUCGCAAGGCUGAAACUUAAAGGAAUUGACGGAAGGGCACCACCAGGUGUGGAGCCUGCGGCUUAAUUUGACUCAACACGGGGAAACUUACCAGGUCCAGACAUUGUGAGGAUUGACAGAUUGAGAGCUCUUUCUUGAUUUAAUGGGUGGUAGUGCAUGGCCGUUCUUAGUUGGUGGAGUGAUUUGUCUGGUUAAUUCCG
Molecule: ribosomal RNA, 706 nt
Filed under: uncultured marine eukaryote
Lineage: Eukaryota
Description: SSU rRNA
Rfam family: Eukaryotic small subunit ribosomal RNA
Source: RNAcentral